CCCUUAGAUGUCCUGGGCCGCACGCGCGCUACACUGAGUGUCUGAGAUACGAGUCUGCCUGGUCCGGCAAGGUCUAGGUAAUCGCUAAAAGACACAUCAUGCUUGGGAUAGAUUAUUGCAAAUAUUAAUCUUGAACGAGGAAUUCCUAGUAAGCGCAAGUCAACAGCUUGCGUUGAUUACGUCCCUGCCCUUUGUACACACCGCCCGUCGCUACUACUGAUUGGAUGUUUAAGCGAGGUUCUCGAACUGCUAGCGACUUAGCUUCGGUGAGGUCGCAGUGUGGGAAGUGAACCUAGCUUUGGUGUCUAGAGGAAGUAAAUGUCGUAACA
This 329-nucleotide ribosomal RNA is filed under the name uncultured eukaryote. RNAcentral's name for it is "partial 18S ribosomal RNA". It matches the Rfam family "Eukaryotic small subunit ribosomal RNA", at positions 1470 to 1796 of the family's 1831-position model. The record is from RNAcentral.